GAUGAAGACGUAGCGAAAUGCGAUGACUAAUGUGAAUUGCAGAAUUCCGUGAAUCAUCGAGUCUUUGAACGCACAUUGCGCCCCCUGGUAUUCCGGGGGGCAUGCCUGUCCGAGCGUCAUUACAACCCUCAAGCCCGGCUUGUGUAAUGGGCGGCCGUCUCUCCCCCCGGGGGGAGACGCCCCCGAAACUCAGUGGGGAUGUCGCGAUACCGAAGCCUCAGCUAAUGGGUAAACCACAGCUGCAAUGGCCGCGGCCGGCGUCCGCCUUCCACGGUCCGUCCGCCUAGCGCGGGCGGCCUUCUCAAGUUUGACCUCGGAUCAGGUAGGGAUACCCGCUGAACUUAAGCAUAUCAAUAAGCGGAGGA
This 365-nucleotide unclassified non-coding RNA is filed under the name soil metagenome. Its description in RNAcentral is "partial contains 5.8S ribosomal RNA, internal transcribed spacer 2, and large subunit ribosomal RNA". The stretch from base 1 to 119 matches the Rfam family "5.8S ribosomal RNA", at positions 35 to 154 of the family's 154-position model. The record is from RNAcentral.